UGUUCUUGAUGGACUGGCAGGAACUCCAUGUCCACCACUGCCACUCCUGUGUUGUGGCAUUCCUCCUUGCCGUUGGACACCACGGCCAUAGUACUCAUGUGCUUGAUAUUCAACCGGACCACCACCUGGUUGAUGUGAUGUUAGCCCUCCACGACCCUGGUAACGUCCACCACGUCCCUGGUGUUGUCCACCACCGCGACCAGCUUGUUGAGCAUAUUGAGGAUUGGCAGGUUGCCAACCACCACCUCCAUGCUGUUGAGCUCUCUCAGGUCGCUGUGAAGGACCCCGUCCAGGAGU
Molecule: non-coding RNA, 297 nt
Filed under: Oryza sativa Indica Group (long-grained rice)
Lineage: Eukaryota; Viridiplantae; Streptophyta; Magnoliopsida; Poales; Poaceae
Source: RNAcentral